Molecule: ribosomal RNA, 253 nt
Filed under: uncultured bacterium
Lineage: Bacteria
Description: partial 16S ribosomal RNA
Rfam family: Bacterial small subunit ribosomal RNA
Source: RNAcentral
UACAGAGGUCUCGAGCGUUGUUCGGAUUCAUUGGGCGUAAAGGGUGCGUAGGUGGCGCUGUAAGUCGGGUGUGAAAUCCUGAGGCUUAACCUCGGAACUGCAUUCGAUACUGCGGCGCUUGAGGACUGGAGAGGAGACUGGAAUUCAUGGUGUAGCAGUGAAAUGCGUAGAGAUCAUGAGGAAGACCAGUGGCGAAGGCGGGUCUCUGGACAGUUCCUGACACUGAGGCGCGAAGGCCAGGGGAGCAAACGGG